CCGUGCUAGAUGGGGAGGUAGCGGUGCCCUGUACCUGCAACCCGCUGUAGCAGGAUCGAAUUCCUGUCAGAGGCUUUUUUCUUGUAAGGCCUGCCCAUCGCAAGUGGCAAUGAAAGCUGGGUCCUGCGCAACGAAAAUCUGUGAACCCCGCCAGGUUCGGAAGAAAGCAACGGUAAGCAGACCCUUUCGUGUGCCGCAGGGUCGCCUGGUUAGAGUUAACUACGGUGGUAACGCUUGUAGGAAUAAGUCGAAGACAGGUGCACGG
Molecule: signal recognition particle RNA, 265 nt
Filed under: Clostridiaceae bacterium
Lineage: Bacteria; Bacillati; Bacillota; Clostridia; Eubacteriales; Clostridiaceae
Description: signal recognition particle sRNA large type
Rfam family: Bacterial large signal recognition particle RNA
About the family: The signal recognition particle (SRP) is a universally conserved ribonucleoprotein involved in the co-translational targeting of proteins to membranes. Archaeal SRP consists of a 7S RNA and homologues of the eukaryotic SRP19 and SRP54 proteins. In most bacteria, the SRP consists of a 4.5S RNA and the Ffh protein (a homologue of the eukaryotic SRP54 protein).
Source: RNAcentral